GCGGUGUGCCUAAUACAUGCAAGUCGAGCGCACUGGCCCAACUGAUAUGACGUGCUUGCACUGAAUUGACGUUGGAUUCCCAGUGAGCGGCGGACGGGUGAGUAACACGUGGGCAACCUGCCCUGAAGCGGGGGAUAACAUCUGGAAACAGGUGCUAAUACCGCAUAACAACGAAAACCACAUGGUUUUCGUUUCAAAGAUGGUUUCGGCUAUCACUUCAGGAUGGGCCCGCGGUGCAUUAGCUAGUUGGUAAGGUAACGGCUUACCAAGGCGAUGAUGCAUAGCCGAGUUGAGAGACUGAUCGGCCACAAUGGAACUGAGACACGGUCCAUACUCCUACGGGAGGCAGCAGUAGGGAAUCUUCCACAAUGGGCGCAAGCCUGAUGGAGCAACACCGCGUGAGUGAAGAAGGGUUUCGGCUCGUAAAGCUCUGUUGUUGGAGAAGAACGUGCGUGAGAGUAACUGUUCACGCAGUGACGGUAUCCAACCAGAAAGUCACGGCUAACUACGUGCCAGCAGCCGCGGUAAUACGUAGGUGGCAAGCGUUAUCCGGAUUUAUUGGGCGUAAAGCGAGCGCAGGCGGUUGCUUAGGUCUGAUGUGAAAGCCUUCGGCUUAACCGAAGAAGUGCAUCGGAAACCGGGCGACUUGAGUGCA
This 655-nucleotide ribosomal RNA is filed under the name Limosilactobacillus vaginalis. Its description in RNAcentral is "bacterial SSU rRNA". It matches the Rfam family "Bacterial small subunit ribosomal RNA", at positions 39 to 650 of the family's 1533-position model. The record is from RNAcentral. Lineage: Bacteria; Bacillati; Bacillota; Bacilli; Lactobacillales; Lactobacillaceae.